Homo sapiens (human) is the source of this 1761-nucleotide long non-coding RNA. Ensembl annotates it as long intergenic non-protein coding RNA 2411. The record is from Ensembl. NCBI's taxonomy places the organism in Eukaryota, Metazoa, Chordata, Mammalia, Primates, Hominidae.
GCCCCUCUCAAAUUUACUCAGUAGGGGGAACUUCACCUUCUCCUAUGUAAAUGGGCUUUUCUGCUUAUGUUUAAAUAAUAGGCCAUUGUGUGGCAAACAACUCUAUCAAAAGUUGUGUCUUUUACCCUAGCUCCUGGGAAAUAACCACUAAAGUCUUGAAAUGUCUUGAGUGAUUGGAGGACCUUUAUUUUUCACGCCUGAUGCCUUAUGCUGAUGAGAUGACUCAGCAGGGGAUGGCCAGGCCAGAAAGACCAAAACUGUAUCCUGAGGUUUGAGUUUCUGAGCCAGGUGAUGUCAUCCUCCAGCUUGGCCGGCCUCUUUCUGGGAGCCUCUGGUGUGAAAGAGAGCAGGAGUUUGCCUAAAUCUUCAAAGAUAUGUGAGGCUUGCCUAGAACAUCAUCAUCAGGAAUGCUGGUCCUUCAAUUUGUUUUUUGAAUUGAAGUGUAGUUUACAGUGAUCAAGUUGAAAAUAAGGCUCUGCAUGAAAGCUAACUAUUAAAAGGGUGUGGGCACAGGAGCAACCAACACAGACCCCACAGAAUCCCAAACCUAUGCUAAGAGGGAGCACUUCCAUCCCUCCAAACCUGUGCUAAGAGGGACACCUCCAUCCUUCUAAGCCUGUGCUAAGAGGGAACACCUCCAUCCUUCCAAACCUGUGAUAGGAGGGAGCAUCUCCAUCCUUCUGAACCUGUGCUAAGAGGAAACACCUCCAUCCUUCCAAACCUGUGAUAGGAGGGAGCACCUCCAUCCUUCCGAACCUGUGCUAAGAGGGACACCUCCAUCCUUCCAAGCCUGUGCUAAGAGGGAGCACCUCCAUCCUUCCAAACCUGUGAUAGGAGGGAGCACCUCCAUCCUUCCAAGCCUGUGCUAAGAGGGAGCACCUCCAUCCUUCCAAACCUGUGAUAGGAGGGAGCACCUCCAUCCUUCCGAACCUGUGCUAAGAGGGACACCUCCAUCCUUCCAAGCCUGUGCUAAGAAGGAGCACCUCCAUCCUUCCAUCUGGCAACCCCACAUCUUUCUGUGCAGCAUUGGCUCAUGGAGUUUUGCACAAUCUGUUGCCUUAAUGCAGCUGUGAGGUGGUAAACCCCAUGCCAUUGCACAGCUGUGCUGGUGGAGUCUUCAACAACAGAGGGAUGAAACGAGAGUGCUGAGUGAUGGGUGGAGUGUGCUCACAGAAGCCAGCUGUGCUUGCCCCACUCCCACCCAAAAUGUUUACCCACGUGGGAAAUGCCUGCCCUGCAUAGGAGUACCCAAGGAACCCAGGAUAUAAAGAAACUUCUAAAAUGGAUCUGAAAGGGGGAAGAGCCCUCCCCUGUAAGGAAGCGAGAGAGAUUUAUUAAAAAUCAUCAACUUCAAAUUAUUUGGAUGGAAACAUUGCCAAAUCAUAGAGAUGUUUGCUACCACCCGCACACCAAGCAGCUGGGUAACUAGAAGUGCAGGAUCAGCUUAUUCACCUCCGAAAGCCUGCAUGCAACCACUGAGGCCGCCUCUAUUUUUUACAUAGUUCUACUUGGUGUAUGUAACCCCACAGAGAAACCUGGAAGAAUGCAUGAAACCUAGUAAGGCAACCAGCACAUGCAACAGAAUGAACCGUUUCUUUCCAUCUGAAUGCCUAAAUGUGGACUCUGAUCCUUUCUACCAAGUCCUAAGUUUGGGAAAAGAGGACAAGGACAGGGGCUCUGUCCCAUAUCAUAAUGUGCUUGUGAAUGGCUAAAAUUACAAUGCUGAGAUAAGUGUGUGUAAUAAAAUAAUUGCACCCCGAA